Cynoglossus semilaevis (tongue sole) is the source of this 1849-nucleotide long non-coding RNA. RefSeq lists it as uncharacterized. NCBI's taxonomy places the organism in Eukaryota, Metazoa, Chordata, Actinopteri, Pleuronectiformes, Cynoglossidae. The record is from RefSeq and is a predicted model, not a curated record. The transcript is spliced from 2 exons.
AUAAGGAUCUUUUUUUUUACUGUGUUUUAAUGUAAAAACAGAGAUCCAAAAUGGCGGCCCUCACACAGGAGAUGUAACCAAAAAUGCUUAUGUCACAAUUAUAAAAAUAAGCAGCAGUGAAACUAAUAUACAUUCAUGUGCCCGCCCAAAAAUAUAAAAUAUACUUAUACACAGUAUACAGUAUAGAGUAUAUUUGUAUUAUUAAAAUUUUUAAAAAAAGCCACUCACCAAGUCCUGACUUCUUUAUCUUCCCCACAGAUGAAUGUAGAUUGCUGUCACUCCCCUGUCCUGCCCAGCAACACAAACAGCACAGCUUCUUCUUAUUUCCUGAGACAAAUCAAUCAUAUGUAGUUAGUGAACUGAUUGUCUACAUUUAGUUGUCAAAACUCCAUUGGGUUAACUGUGUACCAUGAGUGCUAAGAAAAUCUCACACCUGCCAGCCUACGAUUGUGUACAUUUUUACAUCUAGAGGUUUUAACCAGAUGAUUGUAUGGAAAGUCACAGACUUAUAGUGUUAGUUUUUACAGAUGAUAGAUGUCAAUGAUAUUCAAAGCAGACAAUUUAAUAGAUUUUGUGCAGCAUAGGAUGAGUCUGUUCAGCCUUUUCAUAAUCGGAUACCUGAGAUUGUGUGUCGUUUUUUGACUGUUUCUGUCCCAAGUACGUCUGUCUAGACUCUAGAUCAACAAUGGUUACUUUGAAGGACAAGACUAGGAAGUGGAAAAAAAACACUACACAGGAUUUGAUUCACUUGCUGGUUAGACAGUAGUGGGGAACACUAACAGUAUUUCAUCAGCACAGCAAGUAUAUACUGUAUACUUUAUCGCUAGGCCUUAUAGAAUAUGAGAUGGGAGUCACCUGAUACCUGGUGUUGAGAGAUCAAUUUGCUGUUUUAAUAUCUUGCCUCCUGCUGCCAUUUGAAUUUUUUUUUUUUUUAGCUUCAAAUGAAUCAUUUUAACAGUCCAAAGAGUUUCAAAGUAGACUGAACUUGUGGGUAGAUGUGAAAUACGUACAAUGGUCUGAUACGUCUUCAAUGUACUUGACCAAUUUAUAAAAAAAGGGUGGCAAAAAUGUAAUAAGUUGAAUUUAUUUACUCUGCAUUUAUGUCAGUAUAAAAGCACAGCAGUAAUAUCUCUAGCCAAAUUAAGUCCAUUUGAAGGUUUAAUUUAUUUGACAAAUUUUAUGAGACGUUUCUUUUUAAAAUAAAAAAACUAACAAAAAUUCUUACACCAAUUCCAUCUAGUGAAUUUUUCUUUUUUUAUCUUUCCUGCAGCACAAAGACUUAAAGUAAAAAGGGUCGCUUAGAAAAAAUGCACAAGCUCAAAAAAGAAGCAAUGCUGAACACAAACACCAGGGUAUCUUAAACCGUUUAUACUCCGAUUUACUGAAAAUCUGAGUAUGUUGUUGAUGCGAUGCGUCUUUAAUAAGCAUGCUGAAAAAUGCUAGCAUUUUGGCUCUUUUAGAGGAGAACUUCAGUGCCAUACAGUGUUGAAUGUGUUGAUAAGCAGCUGUAUUUGCUGCUUGCGCUGAGCUGUUGUGUUGCAUCGACGCUGCAACCAUAAGUGUUCAUGCUGUGUUGUCGUCUCAGUCUCUGUGUUGUGUAAAAACUUUACUAUAAUAUUUAUUCUCAAAUCCUUUUUGUCAAGACAAAGUACUGUAACAUAAGACAUUUGACUUUGUUUCUGGAGCCUAAAAAACAAGUAAACAACAUGUAUGUACGUACGUAUGUAUGUAUACAUCUGCCACUCCAACAUUUUGUCUAAAGAAAGAUAUUUUCAGUUCCCAAUUCAGCCAAAAAAGUUUUGGGGAGCUCUUACAAAGAAAAAAGCAAAUAAAUGACAUGAAAAUUUUA